RNAcentral lists this small nuclear RNA (100 nucleotides) under Tursiops truncatus (common bottlenose dolphin). The record is from RNAcentral. Lineage: Eukaryota; Metazoa; Chordata; Mammalia; Artiodactyla; Delphinidae. RNAcentral also lists the same sequence under 1 other name.
GCUGACUUCAGCUGUACAUAUAAUUGGCAUAAUACAGAGAAGAUUAGUAUGGCCCCUGCCCAAGGAUAACACGCAAAUUCGUGAAGCAUUAUAUAUUUUA